Long non-coding RNA from Planococcus citri (citrus mealybug), 1144 nucleotides. RefSeq lists it as uncharacterized. Lineage: Eukaryota; Metazoa; Arthropoda; Insecta; Hemiptera; Pseudococcidae. The record is from RefSeq and is a predicted model, not a curated record. The transcript has 3 exons.
CUCAUCGUUUUUUUUUUGAUUGGUUCAUUUUACUGAACGUAUUCUUUUUUCCUAUCAAGUAUGUGUUCAGUUCAGUAUCUAUGUUGUACUUUUUUCUUUGUUAAAAUGUUGUAAGUUUUUUUUUGCUCUUGGGUAAUUUAUAGAAUUUAUGAAAUACUAACAUUUAAAUACAGCAAAGGUUGAGUAGACUGCUUCAUUCUACAAGUGAAAUUGAGAACUCAACAAUCCUCGAUAGCAAAAAUCAUAUAACUAGAUUCAGAUUUCUUAAAGAACAGUGAUAGCCUAACAAUGAGUAAUUACAGUUUUGUUUUAAUUUUCACGUUUAUUUUGGCCAUUACCCACUAUGUUUUGGCGUUUAUUGGUGACUCAAUAGGAAAACCUAUAGAAUGUUACAAGUGUAAACAUGAUACCCGAAGUCCAGAUCCAAACUGUGUAAACGUAAAUGAAAAAACCACUAAAGAAUCCGGAGCUGACUUUUUCUCACUCACGGAGGGGCACGGAUAUGCUAAAUGCUUAUACACCAGGAAACCAGAGAAAGCUGGCGCAUAUGCUAUAGAACGAAAGUUGGUUUUCUUACCCGAUUCUCAUGUUCUUAUGGAUAGCCUCUAUUGCAGACGAAUUCGAGAAGAAAAUUUAGGAGGAGAGUGCAAACUUUGUGAUACAAAUCUCUGCAAUUCAAUGUCAGGUGGCCCGGCACCACCACCUCCAACCACCACCACCACCACCACCACCACGUCACCAUCAAGGGCAGAAUCGAUUGAAAUUACAGUUUCAGAUACUCACUACCUCUGCUAUCCAAGGCUAAGCUUGUAUGCAAAUAACACAAAACCGUAACCAAACCCCAAACAACCGCCAUGUCAUCACCUCAAAGUCCAACCACAAUAUCACCAACAAACACGUCAUUACCACAGAUGGAACCAAUUGAAAUGUGGAGUAAGGGUAUUCUCUACCUCUGUUAUUAUCAGUAGCGAUUUUUGAUGAAAACUGUGAACUUUGGGCAAGCGCGGAUUGUGCAAAAACUAGUGUUAUCGGAUGGAUUUUCGUGGGGGUUGGUUUAUUUUACUCAUUCUACAAAUAAAAAUUAAAAAAUUAUAAUAACUUUGACUAUUCUUUAGUAAAAAAUAUAUAACAAUAAUAAAACCAA